RNAcentral lists this ribosomal RNA (459 nucleotides) under uncultured bacterium. RNAcentral's name for it is "partial 16S ribosomal RNA". It matches the Rfam family "Bacterial small subunit ribosomal RNA", at positions 338 to 795 of the family's 1533-position model. The record is from RNAcentral.
CCUACGGGAGGCAGCAGUGAGGAAUAUUGGUCAAUGGCCGAGAGGCUGAACCAGCCAAGUCGCGUGAGGGAAGACGGCCCUACGGGUUGUAAACCUCUUUUGUCCGGGAGCAAAGCGAGUCACGUGUGGCUCAUUGAGAGUACCCGAAGAAAAAGCAUCGGCUAACUCCGUGCCAGCAGCCGCGGUAAUACGGAGGAUGCGAGCGUUAUCCGGAUUUAUUGGGUUUAAAGGGUGCGCAGGCGGAGCUGAAAGUCAGCGGUCAAAUCGCGGGGCUCAACCCCGUACUGCCGUUGAAACUGGAUGGCUUGAGUGCGCGAGAAGUAGGCGGAAUGCGUGGUGUAGCGGUGAAAUGCAUAGAUAUCACGCAGAACUCCGAUUGCGAAGGCAGCAUACCGGCGCGCCACUGACGCUCAUGCACGAAGGCGUGGGUAUCGAACAGGAUUAGAUACCCGGGUAGUC